UGGCUUUAACACAUGCAAGUCGAACGAGACCUUCGGGUCUAGUUGGCGCACGGGUGCGUAACGCGUGGGAACCUGCCUUUUAGGUUCGGAAUAACAGUGAGAAAUUACUGCUAAUACCGGAUGAUGUCUUCGGACCAAAGAUUUUAUCGCCUUUAGAUGGGCCCGCGUUGGAUUAGCUAGUUGGUGGGUAAAGGCCUACCAAGGCGACGAUCCAUAGCUGGUCUGAGAGGAUGAUCAGCCACACUGGGACUGAGACACGGCCCAGACUCCUACGGGAGGCAGCAGUGGGGAAUAUUGGACAAUGGGCGAAAGCCUGAUCCAGCAAUGCCGCGUGAGUGAUGAAGGCCUUAGGGUUGUAAAGCUCUUUUACCCGAGAUGAUAAUGACAGUAUCGGGAGAAUAAGCUCCGGCUAACUCCGUG
Molecule: ribosomal RNA, 420 nt
Filed under: uncultured bacterium
Lineage: Bacteria
Description: bacterial SSU rRNA
Rfam family: Bacterial small subunit ribosomal RNA
Source: RNAcentral